This 69-nucleotide transfer RNA is filed under the name Rhodeus albomarginatus. RNAcentral's name for it is "tRNA-Ala". It matches the Rfam family "tRNA". Rfam says of the family: Transfer RNA (tRNA) molecules are approximately 80 nucleotides in length. Their secondary structure includes four short double-helical elements and three loops (D, anti-codon, and T loops). Further hydrogen bonds mediate the characteristic L-shaped molecular structure. tRNAs have two regions of fundamental functional importance: the anti-codon, which is responsible for specific mRNA codon recognition, and the 3' end, to which the tRNAs corresponding amino acid is attached (by aminoacyl-tRNA synthetases). tRNAs cope with the degeneracy of the genetic code in two manners: having more than one tRNA (with a specific anti-codon) for a particular amino acid; and 'wobble' base-pairing, i.e. permitting non-standard base-pairing at the 3rd anti-codon position. The record is from RNAcentral. Lineage: Eukaryota; Metazoa; Chordata; Actinopteri; Cypriniformes; Acheilognathidae.
AAGGCCUUAGUUUAAUUAAAACAUUUGAUUUGCACUCAUAAAAUGCAAGAUAGAGUCUUGUAGGUUUUA